AACGAACGCUGGCGGCAUGCCUAACACAUGCAAGUCGAACGAGACCUUCGGGUCUAGUGGCGCACGGGUGCGUAACGCGUGGGAACCUGCCCUUAGGUUCGGAAUAACUCCCCGAAAGGGGUGCUAAUACCGGAUAAUGUCUUCGGACCAAAGAUUUAUCGCCUUUGGACGGGCCCGCGUUGGAUUAGCUAGUUGGUAGGGUAAAAGCCUACCAAGGCGACGAUCCAUAGCUGGUCUGAGAGGAUGAUCAGCCACACCGGGACUGAGACACGGCCCAGACUCCUACGGGAGGCAGCAGUGGGGAAUAUUGGACAAUGGGCGAAAGCCUGAUCCAGCAAUGCCGCGUGAGUGAUGAAGGCCUUAGGGUUGUAAAGCUCUUUUACCCGGGAUGAUAAUGACAGUACCGGGAGAAUAAGCUCCGGCUAACUCCGUG
RNAcentral lists this ribosomal RNA (433 nucleotides) under uncultured bacterium. RNAcentral describes it as "partial 16S ribosomal RNA". It matches the Rfam family "Bacterial small subunit ribosomal RNA", at positions 29 to 507 of the family's 1533-position model. The record is from RNAcentral.